Molecule: ribosomal RNA, 455 nt
Filed under: uncultured Sphingobacteriales bacterium
Lineage: Bacteria; Pseudomonadati; Bacteroidota; Sphingobacteriia; Sphingobacteriales
Description: bacterial SSU rRNA
Rfam family: Bacterial small subunit ribosomal RNA
Source: RNAcentral
GCACAAGCGGAGGAACAUGUGGUUAAUCGAUGAUACGCGAGGAACCUUACCUGGGCUUAAAUGUAGAGUGCAUUUUUAGAGAUAGAAAUUCCCUUCGGGCUUUCUGCAAGGUGCUGCAUGGUUGUCGUCAGCUCGUGCCGUGAGGUGUCGGGUUAAGUCCCAUAACGAGCGCAACCCUUAUCGUUAGUUGCCAUCUGGUAAUGCAGGGGACUCUAGCGAAACUGCCACCGUAAGGUGAGAGGAAGGUGGGGAUGACGUCAAAUCAGCACGGCCCUUAUGUCCAGGGCUACACACGUGUUACAAUGGUCGGUACAGAGGGCAGCUACCUGGUGACAGGAUGCUAAUCUCGAAAACCGGUCUCAGUUCGGAUCGAAGUCUGCAACUCGACUUCGUGAAGCUGGAUUCGCUAGUAAUCGCGCAUCAGCUAUGGCGCGGUGAAUACGUUCCCGGGCCUU